AUGUGGAAACACGGCUCCUUGGCACUGUCUUCCUAUCUGCCUAGCAGAGUGAUAUUCCUUAGAACUUCAGGAGGUCAGUUGCUUCUGGUAGAGGAGAUGUUUUCUUUCUUCAUGCCACCUGGAUGUGACUUGAUGAGGGGUCCCCUAGCUCCUCCUGGCUGCUGCUUGCUGUGACCUAAUACAUGUUGGGUUUUGCUGUUAAAGAGGAGAGCAGGAAGACAGGUUGGUAUCAGAAACCAAGAGGGUGGGAGCCACUCAGCUUUUGAGCCUCUGAGAAGUAGUGUUUGUUGUGCCAAAAGAGUACAGUAGAAUUUAAGUUUCUCUUUAGAAAUUGCACUGAUGGAAAUAUUGCACAACGAAGGAAAACUUAUUUUCUGGAUGGCUUUCUUAGAGAUAGAAUAUUUGAAGCAUAUUUUCCUAGAGAUCACGUGGAUGGGGGCGAGCUGGCUGAGGCACCUCUCAGGCUGGGGCUGGGGGGUGAUGUGUAAGAAGCACUUGGGGCCACAAGAACCAUCCUGCACAGACAGCUAAGGCCUUCCCUUCUUGUGCCCAGUUUUUGGUUGAAGGGUGGUUUCUAUUAGGAAGAAUCUAUGUUUCAGUCAUGGAUGCUAAUAGAGAAAGUUGUUUUCCUACUGAAGAUUACUGAGUAGAAGUACUGAAAGAGUCCAUUUCUGGAUUUCAGAGGAGUUGAAGGCCAGUCUGUCUAGAAAGGCCAAGAUAACUCAGAAAGACCUGACAACUAGCUAUGUGAAUUCAGUUUUUUCCCACAAUGGUUUUCGAUGACACAUUUGGUAAUAGAAUACGAAAGCUCUAGCAUCUCCCUUCUGGCAAUGCUGGUUGUCUUCCCUGGUCCUUGUUUCUAUAGGGUGACCUGAUAUGAAUGUUGCAGGUAUCCUGGGAGCUAGAGUGCUGGGCACAUGUCUGAACCACCUGAGCCUGAAGGAGAAUGUGUGAGGCACCAGGCCCUGUGCUGCUGCCCGGCUGUUUUCUGAAAACCCUUGCUAAGAAGGUUGGGUUUGUCAUGCCUUGCUCAACUGAGUGAGGGAGAAAUUUUCAGGUUUAAUUUAACUGUAUGUACAUGCAGAGCCAAGAGUGACUGUCAACUCAGCUGGUUCCACAAAUCAGAUGUGAAUUUCCUAAAUUUCCUGUGUAAAGGGUCUGGGACUGAGCUGUAUAGUAUUUCAAGCUGCCAAUAAGCCAGCCCCUGACACUCUCAUAGAUACUCCUUUAAUUCAUAUGACACUGUGUUCAAUAAAUGACUGUCAAAAUUG
Molecule: RNA transcript, 1271 nt
Organism: Lemur catta (Ring-tailed lemur)
Lineage: Eukaryota; Metazoa; Chordata; Mammalia; Primates; Lemuridae
Exons: 3
Source: RefSeq, a predicted model, not a curated record